RNAcentral lists this ribosomal RNA (815 nucleotides) under unidentified. Its description in RNAcentral is "Ascocorticium sorbicola partial large subunit ribosomal RNA". It matches the Rfam family "Eukaryotic large subunit ribosomal RNA", at positions 76 to 910 of the family's 3401-position model. The record is from RNAcentral.
UGCCUCAGUAACGGCGAGUGAAGCGGCAACAGCUCAAAUUUGAAAUCUGGCUCUAGGGCCCGAGUUGUAAUUUGCAGAGGAGUCUUCGGGUUUGACUUUGGUCUAAAUUCCUUGGAACAGGAUGUCAUAGAGGGUGAGAGUCCCGUACGAGGCCAAAGAUCUAUUCCCAUGUGAAGCUUCUUCGACGAGUCGAGUUGUUUGGGAAUGCAGCUCAAAAUGGGUGGUAAAUUUCAUCUAAAGCUAAAUACCGGCGGGAGACCGAUAGCGCACAAGUAGAGUGAUCGAAAGAUGAAAAGCACUUUGAAAAGAGAGUUAAAAAGUACGUGAAAUUGUUGAAAGGGAAACGCUUGCGACCAGACUUGCGCUCAGGUGAUCAACCGGUGUUCUCACCGGUGCACUCUCCUGUUUGCAGGCCAGCAUCGGUUUAAGCGGUUGGAUAAAGACCCUGGGAAUGUAGCUGCCUUCGGUCAGUGUUAUAGCCCAGGGUGCAAUGCAGCCAGCCUGGACCGAGGACCGCGCUUUUUGCUAGGAUGCUGGCGUAAUGGUUGUAAGCGACCCGUCUUGAAACACGGACCAAGGAGUCUAACAUCUAUGCGAGUGUUUGGGUGUAAAACCCAUGCGCGUAAUGAAAGUGAACGGAGGUGAGAGUCCUUAAGGAUGCAUCAUCGACCGAUCCUGAUGUCUUCGGAUGGAUUUGAGUAAGAGCAUAGCUGUUGGGACCCGAAAGAUGGUGAACUAUGCCUGAAUAGGGUGAAGCCAGAGGAAACUCUGGUGGAGGCUCGCAGCGGCUCUGACGUGCAAAUCGAUCGUCAAAU